RNAcentral lists this long non-coding RNA (2047 nucleotides) under Pan troglodytes (chimpanzee). RNAcentral describes it as "long non-coding RNA NONPTRT001550". Lineage: Eukaryota; Metazoa; Chordata; Mammalia; Primates; Hominidae. The record is from RNAcentral.
CACCUGACCACACCCAUCUCUCCUGGACCCCACAGCGUGACCCUCCACACUGACCACACCCAUCUCUCCUGGACCCCACAGUGUGACCCUUCACCUGACCACACCCGUCUCUCCUCAACCCCACAGUGUGACCCUCCACCUGACCACACCCGUCUCUCCUGGACCCCACAGCGUGACCCUCCACCCGACCACACCCGUCUCUCCUGGACCCCCCAGCGUGACCCUCCACACUGACCACACCCAUCUCUCCUGGACCCCACAGUGUGACCCUCCACCUGACCACACCCGUCUCUCCUGGACCCCACAGCGUGACCCUCCACACUGACCACACCCGUCUCUCCUCGACCCCACAGUGUGACCCUUCACCUGACCACACCCAUCUCUCCUGGACCCCACAGUGUGACCCUUCACCUGACCACCCCCAUCUCUCCUGGACCCCACAGUGUGACCCUCCACCCGACCACACCCGUCUCUCCUGGGACCCCAAGAGUGACCCUCCACCCAACCACACCUGUCUCUCCUGGAACCCCAAGAAUGACCCUCCACCUGACCACCCCCAUCUCUCCUGGAUCCCACAGCAUGACCCUCCACACUGACCACACCCGUCUCUCGUCAACCCCACAGUGUGACCCUCCACCUGACUGCACCCUGUCUAGUGCAUCCCUGCACCUGUCUCUCGGCCCUCCUCACCUCCUCACUUCCUCACCUUCUCGUCGGGUCAAGCACCAACAAUCCGCUGUGUGCCUGGUGCACUGAGCCUUCUCAGGGGCCUCUGGGCCGCGUGCCAGGACACGCCCCUGGGGACUCCCAGUGCACACGUUGGUCUCCUGCACACUUGGCUCUUCUAUCUGCGGGAGCCGGCACCCACCCUACAACUGACUGCACUCUCAGAAAAGUCCCAGAAGACCCCUCACCAACCCAGCAGCACCUUGAGGCCACAUCCCACUUGCCUGCUAGCUCCUGAACCUCCCCCACCCUGUGACGGCUCACUCCUUCCUGAGCUCCUUCGGCUCCCUGCCUACCUCUGCGAGUUACCUCCUGGGCGAUGCCAGGUGACUGUAACAUCAACCAGGAGGCACUGCUGAGAAGCAGAAGGCAUGGUGCAGUGCCCAGAACGUCAUGUCCCUCAACAGAUGCUCUAUGUCUUCUCCUCCUCUCCUGGCAGAGCUUUGCUGUAGGACGAAGGCCAUUCCUCCAGUGCUGCUACUUCCAACACUGGGGAAAACAAGCUUCAGAAAGGAACGGUGUCAAAGAGGCAGGACCCACCAGCAGGGCUGCCAGCGGCCAGACGACCACAGCCCCAGCAUUCCCCAGCCACCACGGCCAACAGCCCAGGCUCCAGAAAUGCACAGCUUCAACCUUCAGAGUAAAAACCCUCCCAAGCCAACUAUUUCUUCAACAAUCGAAUUGGGGAAUGGAGGGUUCUAACCCUGCCCCUCUCUAUACCACAGAUCAUCAGAUCCCAGUUCUUGUCAGAUUGGGGAAUGGAAGGUUCUAACCCUGCCCCUCUCUAUACCACAGAUCAGAGCCCUGUUCUUGUUGGAUUGGGGAGUGGGGGGUUCUGACCCUGUCCCUCUCUAUACCACAGAUCAGAUCCCAGUUCUUAUCAGAUUGGGAAGUGGGGGGUUCUGACCCUGCCCCCUCUCUAUACCACAGAUCAUCAGAUCCCAGUUCUUAUCGGAUUGGGGAGUGGGGGGUUCUGACCCUGUCCCUCUCUAUACCACAGAUCAUCAGAUCCCAGUUCUUAUCAGAUUGGGGAGUGGGGGGUUCUGACCCUGCCCCCUCUCUAUACCAGAGAUCAUCAGAUCCCAGUUCUUAUCGGAUUGGGGAGUGGGGGGUUCUGACCCUGCCUCUCUAUAUACCACAGAUCAUCAGAUUCCAGUUCUUUUCUAAGCCCAGCACUUUGCUUCUGCCACAUGCAGUCAUCCUCAGCACCAGGAAAAGUCAGAAACAUUGAGUGAUGACGAUGACACCAAUACCAAAAGUCAAACAUUGAGUGAUGAUGAUGACACCAAUACCAACACAUGCGGCUCUGGCAGCUUUGGUA